AUACUUCUGGCGCUUUUGCU
This 20-nucleotide small nuclear RNA is filed under the name Arabidopsis thaliana (thale cress). RNAcentral's name for it is "snRNA_08385". The record is from RNAcentral. Lineage: Eukaryota; Viridiplantae; Streptophyta; Magnoliopsida; Brassicales; Brassicaceae.